AGUGGCGGACGGGUGAGUAACGCGUGGGUAACCUGCCUUAUACAGGGGGAUAACAGUUGGAAACGACUGCUAAUACCGCAUAAGCGCUCAGUGCCGCAUGGCACAGUGUGAAAAACUCCGGUGGUAUAAGAUGGACCCGCGUCUGAUUAGCUAGUUGGUGAGGUAACGGCUCACCAAGGCGACGAUCAGUAGCCGGCUUGAGAGAGUGAUCGGCCACAUUGGGACUGAGACACGGCCCAAACUCCUACGGGAGGCAGCAGUGGGGAAUAUUGCACAAUGGGGGAAACCCUGAUGCAGCAACGCCGCGUGAGUGAAGAAGUAUUUCGGUAUGUAAAGCUCUAUCAGCAGGGAAGAUAAUGACGGUACCUGACUAAGAAGCCCCGGCUAACUACGUGCCAGCAGCCGCGGUAAUACGUAGGGGGCAAGCGUUAUCCGGAUUUACUGGGUGUAAAGGGAGCGUAGGCGGCUUGGCAAGUCUGAUGUGAAAGCCCAGGGCUCAACCCUGGGACUGCAUUGGAAACUGUCAGGCUAGAGUGCAGGAGAGGUGAGUGGAAUUCCUAGUGUAGCGGUGAAAUGCGUAGAUAUUAAGAGGAACACCAGUGGCGAAGGCGGCUUACUGGACUGUAACUGACGCUGAGGCUCGAAAGCGUGGGGAGCAAACAGGAUUAGAUACCCUGGUAGUCCACGCUGUAAACGAUGAAUACUAGGUGU
Molecule: ribosomal RNA, 711 nt
Filed under: uncultured bacterium
Lineage: Bacteria
Description: bacterial SSU rRNA
Rfam family: Bacterial small subunit ribosomal RNA
Source: RNAcentral